Molecule: ribosomal RNA, 497 nt
Filed under: uncultured bacterium
Lineage: Bacteria
Description: bacterial SSU rRNA
Rfam family: Bacterial small subunit ribosomal RNA
Source: RNAcentral
AGUGAACGCUGGCGGCAGGCCUAACACAUGCAAGUCGAGCGGCAGCGCGUCCGACCACCCUCGGGUGGUCGGAUGGCGGCGAGCGGCGGACGGGUGAGGAAUGCAUCGGAAUCUGCCUCGUUGUGGGGGAUAACGUAGGGAAACUUACGCUAAUACCGCAUACGACCUACGGGUGAAAGUGGGGGACCUUCGGGCCUCACGCGAUGAGAUGAGCCGAUGCCGGAUUAGCUAGUUGGCGGGGUAAAGGCCCACCAAGGCGACGAUCCGUAGCUGGUCUGAGAGGAUGAUCAGCCACACUGGAACUGAGACACGGUCCAGACUCCUACGGGAGGCAGCAGUGGGGAAUAUUGGACAAUGGGGGCAACCCUGAUCCAGCCAUGCCGCGUGUAGGAUGAAGGCCUCGGUUGUAACUGCUUUGUACGGACGAAAGACUCUGGUUAUACCUGGGUCCGAUGACGGUACCGUAAGAAUAAGCACCGGCUAACUACGUGCCAGCA